RNAcentral lists this ribosomal RNA (450 nucleotides) under uncultured bacterium. RNAcentral describes it as "bacterial SSU rRNA". It matches the Rfam family "Bacterial small subunit ribosomal RNA", at positions 354 to 796 of the family's 1533-position model. The record is from RNAcentral.
GUGGGGAAUCUUGCGCAAUGCGCGAAAGCGUGACGCAGCAACGCCGCGUGAGGGAAGACGGCCUUCGGGUUGUAAACCUCUUUCAGGAGGGACGAAGGUCCGCCCGCGAAUAGCGAGGCGGAUUGACGGUACCUCCAGAAGAAGCCCCGGCUAACUACGUGCCAGCAGCCGCGGUAAUACGUAGGGGGCAAGCGUUGUCCGGAAUCAUUGGGCGUAAAGCGCGCGUAGGCGGCCCGGUAAGUCCGCUGUAAAAGUCAAAGGCUCAACCUUUGAAUGCCGGUGGAUACUGUCGGGCUAGAGUCCGGAAGAGGCGAGUGGAAUUCCUGGUGUAGCGGUGGAAUGCGCAGAUAUCAGGAGGAACACCAAUAGCGAAGGCAGCUCGCUGGGACGGUACUGACGCUAAGGCGCGAAAGCGUGGGGAGCAAACAGGAUUAGAAACCCGAGUAGUCC